RNAcentral lists this ribosomal RNA (612 nucleotides) under Dermacoccus sp. RNAcentral describes it as "bacterial SSU rRNA". It matches the Rfam family "Bacterial small subunit ribosomal RNA", at positions 67 to 688 of the family's 1533-position model. The record is from RNAcentral. Lineage: Bacteria; Bacillati; Actinomycetota; Actinomycetes; Micrococcales; Dermacoccaceae.
CGAUGAUGCUCCAGCUUGCUGGGGUGGAUUAGUGGCGAACGGGUGAGUAACACGUGAGUAACCUGCCCUUCACUUUGGGAUAAGCCUUGGAAACGGGGUCUAAUACCGGGUAUACACAUUCUGCCGCAUGGUGGUGUGUGGAAAGCUUUUGUGGUGAGGGAUGGACUCGCGGCCUAUCAGCUUGAUGGUGGGGUAGUGGCCUACCAUGGCUUUGACGGGUAGCCGGCCUGAGAGGGUGACCGGCCACACUGGGACUGAGACACGGCCCAGACUCCUACGGGAGGCAGCAGUGGGGAAUAUUGCACAAUGGGCGGAAGCCUGAUGCAGCGACGCCGCGUGGGGGAUGAAGGCUUUCGGGUCGUAAACUCCUUUCAGCAGGGACGAAGCUUUUUGUGACGGUACCUGCAGAAGAAGCACCGGCUAACUACGUGCCAGCAGCCGCGGUAAUACGUAGGGUGCGAGCGUUGUCCGGAAUUAUUGGGCGUAAAGAGCUUGUAGGCGGUUUGUCGCGUCUGCCGUGAAAGCCCAGGGCUUAACCCUGGGUCUGCGGUGGGUACGGGCAGACUAGAGUGUGGUAGGGGAGACUGGAAUUCCUGGUGUAGCGGUGAAAUG